This 804-nucleotide long non-coding RNA is filed under the name Nicotiana tabacum (common tobacco). Its description in RNAcentral is "long non-coding RNA (NTAB_LNC002359)". Lineage: Eukaryota; Viridiplantae; Streptophyta; Magnoliopsida; Solanales; Solanaceae. The record is from RNAcentral.
UUUGAUCCUAGGAGAAGGUUCGUCAGACUAGGUCUCUAUCUUAGGAGAAAAAUUCAUCGGACUAAGAUUUUGAUCCUAGGAGAAGGUUCAUCAGACUAGGUCAUUUUUUUUGGUAUCUUAGGAGAAAGAUUCAUCAGACUAAGAUUUUUAUCCUAGGAGAAGGUUCAUCAGACUAGGUCAUUUUUUUGUUUUUUGGUAUCUUAGGAGAAAAAUUCGUCAGACUAAGAUUUUGAUCCUAGGAGAAGGUUCAUCAGACUAGGUCAUUUUUGUUUUUUGGUAUCUUAGGAGAAAGAUUCAUCAGACUAAGAUUUUGAUUUUUUUUUUUUUUCUUCAAAAACAACUUAGGAGGAAAUGCAUCUCCUAUGGGUAAAACUUAACUUUGAGGAAGUGCGUCUCCUGUGGGUACAAUAAACUUAGGAAGUGCGUCUCCUAUGGGUACAAUAAACUUAGGAAGUGUGUCUCCUAUUGGGGAUAACUGUUCUUAGGAAGUGCGUCUCCUACUGGGUGAAACUUUUUAGGAAGUGCGUCUCCUAUUGGUACGAUGGAUCUAGGAAGUGCGUCUCCUAUUGGUAAAACUUAACUUAGGAAGUGCGUCUCCUAUCGGUGAAAUCAACUUAGGAAGUGCGUCUCCUACUGGUGAAACUUUUUAGGAAGUGCGUCUCCUACUGGUACAAUGGAUUUAGGAAGUGCGUCUCCUAUGGGUAAAAAUAAACUUUAGGAGGAAAUACAUCUCCUAUAGGUAAAGACGUGGAAUGUAUGCCUCUGUUAUCUGGGCGGGCUCCCAAUUUCAAUACUUGAAAUAAA